This is a long non-coding RNA of Octopus bimaculoides (California two-spot octopus), 3303 nucleotides long. RefSeq lists it as uncharacterized. The record is from RefSeq and is a predicted model, not a curated record. Lineage: Eukaryota; Metazoa; Mollusca; Cephalopoda; Octopoda; Octopodidae.
UCUGAGCCAGCAGGCUUGGGAUCAACGGUGUUCCAGCUGUGACCACCAUGUCUUCUUGCAUUCAGAUAUAGAAUAUCAAAAACUGCACCAUCAGGUACAUAAUCAAGAAUUUGAUAUUUGCAGCGGCCAUAUUUUUUGUUGUUUAACCCCGAGUUAAAUCCGAUCCAGCAAACAUAUAAUCAAAUGAGUUCCAGCUGUGACCAUCCUGUCUUUCUUUUCAGAUAAAAUAUAUACAGGACCACAAGAUGGCUGAAGCAGGAGAUUUGCACCGCCACCCUGUAAUUUGUGCAUCCUUCUCUCCUCCUACAGCCGCCAACUCACCGUUGUUCCCGAUCAAUAACUGCACCGAUGUCAACUGUUGUAGAAGAGAUCAACCUCUUUGAGAAGUCCAUGAGUGAAGCCUCUGUCCACUAACUUUAUCGACUAGAAAUAACAGCCAACCCUCUUCAAAUACACUCUGAAACAAAGCUGGGGUAGGAGACAUUGAAGCAAUGUAUCAUUGAUACUAGAAAAACACACAAUGGCUAGUCACGACUGGAAAGCUUUUCAUCAUAGAUCUACUGGAUCAUGAUUAAUCUAGGGUUAAACAGCAAUGUUAAUUAUUUUCAUUUCCCUGGCAUUGACAAUAUAACGAGAGAGGCGUCCGAUCUAAAGCAUUGUCAGCAAAUUUUUUGGAGAUACCUUUGUGCAGUUUAAUCUAGUUUAAUGGUGAUGUUUAGGGGUGAUAUAUAACUGCAAAAUUUGCAAGAAAUUCUAAUCAAAUCACUCUUAAAGUUCACACAUUCUACUAAUCUGCUGAUAUAGUCAUGGAUAACACUAUAUCUGAAAAAGCAAAAUACGAGAUAACUAUGGCUGGAACUAGAUUUGGACAUAUUUAUGCUGGACCGUAACUAACCUGCGACUCAAAAACAAUAAGAAUAAAUACCAGCAUUGCCACCGAAGGUGCACUUUGCACGAAAAUGCCAAAAUGAGAGUUUCUCUCUUGGUAGCUACCGUAGUAAAGUUUGUUCUAAUAGAUCAUCCUCAUUUAAAUGGGAAAAAAAAUUACUUCUCGGUAUUGAAAUUGCCUCUUUCGCUAAUAAAUAUUUUUUUUCAAUCUCCCCGCUAGCGAUAUAAACAUGAGUGCAUUUUACACCAAAAGCCAAUAAGAGACUUUCUCACACGGUAACUACUGCUGUGUAGUUUGUUCUAACAGAGCAUCUACAUUUAAGUGGGGAUAAAAAUUACCUCUCAGUAUUAAUGCGGUCUCUGUUGUUAAUAUAUAUUAAUUAGAUUGAGUUUCCAGUAAAUCUUAAGUAAUUUACAGUAAAUAUUUAUCUAUAACAAUUUUCUCAUGGCACUACUGUUAUCAGUGGAAAGCGUUUAAUAUUUAAUCCGUUUCUUUUUACAUCCCAAAUGAGAACUUCCUUCUCACAUCUGUCUAGUUAUCUACUUCCUCUGUCAUCACCUUUGUAGCACUUCAAUUUUAAGUGUGUAAGACGGAAAGCUUUACUUGACGACAGGAAGAACAAUUAACCUUAUUAUAGGAUCAAUAACAUAUAUAUAUAUAUUGUGUGUAUUGCGUAUGUGUCUUGUGCAUUGUGUGUGUAUAUGUGCAUGUGUGUAUAUCUGUGUAUACACGCGUGUGUGUAUGUAUGUGUGUUUAUUUGUGUGUGUGAUGUCGUCUCAUCAUAGAUCAGUGCUAUUUAGGUAUACGCCAGAGAAAAUGCAUGCCAGUCGAGAUGGUCACGGAUGGAAUAUUUCACACAUACAGUAAUUCAUAUUGCACUACCUAGAAUGUCUUGUGUUAGAUGGGAGAUGUGAUUUCAGAGAGAUUUAGCCGUUAUUGUUAUCAGAUCAAGUGAACACAUGAUCGAAAUUUAGGUAGCUCGGUGCGUUUAUGGAAUAUAAGUGCAUACGUGCGCAGAUAGAUAGAUAGAUAGAUAGAUAGAUAGAUAGAUAGAUAGAUAGAUAGAUAGAUAGAUAGAUACAUACAUACAUACAUACAUACAUACAUACACAUGUGUCUGUGUACAUGUACAUAUCAAUCAAUCAAUAUCUAUUAUUCAAAAUUCAAAGAAAUAUGAAUUAUAGGGGAAAAGAGUAUAGCCAGUCAUCUUUUUUAACCCUGGUACUUAUUAUAUUGGUGUUUUUUUUUUGCCGAACCGCUAUGUUACGGGGACGUUAACACACCAACACCAGUUGUCAAGAGUUUUGGGGGAUAAAUAAAGAUACACAGGCACACACAAACACACGCAAUACACUCACAAGGCUUUGGUCGAUCCGAGACUAUAGUAAAAUACACUUUCUCAAGGUGCCACGCAGUGGAACUAAGUUCAGAACUAUGUAUAUAUAUUACCCUUUUACUCCAGCAUGGCCUCAGACUGAGGCCAUGCUGGAGCACUGCCUUUAGUCGAGGAAAUAAAUCCCAAGACUUAUUCUUUGUAAGCCUAGUACUUACUCUAUCGGCCUCUUUUUGCCGGAACGCAUCGGUCGUCAAGCGAUGCUGGGGGAACAAACACGGACACACAAACACACACACACAUAUAUACAUAUACAUAUAUACGACGGACUUCUUUCAGUUUCCGUCUACCAAAUUCACUCACAAGGUUAUAGUAGAAGACACUUGCCCAAGGUGCCAUGCAGUGGGACUGAACCCGGAACCAUGUGGUUGGUAAGCAAGCUACUUACCACAUAGUCACUCCUGCGCAUAUAUAUAUAUAUAUAUAAUAUAUAUAUAUACAUAUAAAUAUAUAUAUAUCGAGAGAGAGAGAGAGAGACAGAGAGAGACAGAGACAGAGAGAGAGACAGAGAGAGAGACAGAGAGAAAAGAAAUAACUGAGCAGUAGGUGGGAAGCGAACUUAUACCUCUUAGUAGCCAUCAUAGUUUUACUACUUAAGCUACUAGCCCUCUGCUGUUUACCAGUACAACAAUAAACUUGUAAUUCUGUUACACAUUCUGAACGUUUUACAAGGUCAUUCGAUCUGCUUGGGAAAACAACUAAAUCUUCCUCGUCUUUGAUCAAAAAUUUCAUUGAUCAAAGCUAAUCUGGAGCUACAUAAUAACUAUAAUAAUUUUAAUUGAAAAUUGGAAAAAUCAAAUUUUGGGAAAAUCAUGAUUUUGUUUAGUUUGGGUUUUUUGUCUAAUUUUAAAGGUUUGAAAAUUGAAAAUUAUGCAACUGCCUUAUUUUCAUAAAAUCAACUCAGGAGACGAGGCGUGAAUAGGAUUGAAAGAAAGAAAAAAUCAAACACGAAAUUUAAACACAAAUAAACGUUGCAAUCUAGGAGAAAAAAUACAAAAGAAAUAAAAUGAUUAAACAAGUA